Molecule: ribosomal RNA, 499 nt
Filed under: uncultured bacterium
Lineage: Bacteria
Description: bacterial SSU rRNA
Rfam family: Bacterial small subunit ribosomal RNA
Source: RNAcentral
ACUCAAAGGAAUAGACGGGGACCCGCACAAGCGGUGGAUGAUGUGGAUUAAUUCGAUGCAACGCGAAAAACCUUACCUACCCUUGACAUGUCCAGGAGCCUGAAGAGAUUUGGGUGUGCCCGAAAGGGAACUGGAACACAGGUGCUGCAUGGCUGUCGUCAGCUCGUGUCGUGAGAUGUUGGGUUAAGUCCCGCAACGAGCGCAACCCUUGUCGUUAAUUGCCAUCAUUUAGUUGGGCACUUUAACGAGACUGCCGGUGACAAACCGGAGGAAGGUGGGGAUGACGUCAAGUCCUCAUGGCCCUUAUGGGUAGGGCUUCACACGUCAUACAAUGGUCGGUACAAAGGGUUGCCAAGCCGCGAGGUGGAGCCAAUCCCAGAAAGCCGAUCGUAGUCCGGAUCGCAGGCUGCAACUCGCCUGCGUGAAGUCGGAAUCGCUAGUAAUCGUGGAUCAGCAUGUCACGGUGAAUACGUUCCCGGGUCUUGUACACACCGCCCGU